This 416-nucleotide long non-coding RNA is filed under the name Suricata suricatta (meerkat). Its description in RNAcentral is "lncRNA (ENSSSUG00005016403.1)". Lineage: Eukaryota; Metazoa; Chordata; Mammalia; Carnivora; Herpestidae. The record is from RNAcentral.
CGCCGAGCACUUCCGGGUCACGUCGCCGGAGGCCGGGGCGUGGCGCCAGCCGCCCCCUGGGGCUGAGGCCGCCUGGUUGGUCCCCGACUUUCGCCGGUACCCGAGUUUCUAAGCGUCCCGGAAGAUGUUGCAGAGUUAUUUGAGAGGCCCAGAAGACCAUGAUGUAAUUUUCAGAAAAGAACAGAAGAAAAUGUCUGAGAGAAACACAGAGAGAAAGAGCCAGUCCAGGACUUGUAUGUGGAAAUAGCUAGGGAAAUAGCCCAGCCCCCAGGCUUUCUUCGGUUACUCUGCUUGUCUUCCCAUCUGUCCUGGAAGGGCUGAGUCACAUUCUUCAGAUUCUAUCACCAGUCCUUGGGAUGCAUUGUGGUGAAAUGUGGACAAGACAAAUAAACCUUUCUUUUAGAAAAACCCUGGUG